CAUCGCUUCAGACGGAUCAAUCAUCCAUCGCUCCGGCUAGAUGACAUCCGUCUCUUCAACCUCAUGUAUCAUCCAUCGCUUUGGCUGGAUGAUACACGCUGCUCAGACCUAGCUUACGACCCGCGAACCUAAGCGAUGGUUACAAAAUCCAAUUUACGUCCAAGCGCAAGUUUUCGAGGGGGAGUAUCACAAACUCUCCCGACACUUCUGUCUAUGGGAUGGAAGUCGUCACAUUUCAAGGGAGAGUAUCAACAAGCUCUCCCGACACUUCUGUCUAUAGGAUGGAAGUCGUCA
Molecule: long non-coding RNA, 294 nt
Filed under: Zostera marina
Lineage: Eukaryota; Viridiplantae; Streptophyta; Magnoliopsida; Alismatales; Zosteraceae
Description: long non-coding RNA (ZMAR_LNC004733)
Source: RNAcentral